Molecule: small nucleolar RNA, 89 nt
Organism: Elaeis guineensis (African oil palm)
Lineage: Eukaryota; Viridiplantae; Streptophyta; Magnoliopsida; Arecales; Arecaceae
Product: small nucleolar RNA SNORD96 family
Source: RefSeq, a predicted model, not a curated record
CUGCCCAUGAUGAUACCUUAUUUCAAUAUACCAUCUUUCGGGACUGAUUGGUGUAUUUAGCCAGGAUGAUAUUUUGCAAUCUGAGGCAC